This 250-nucleotide ribosomal RNA is filed under the name uncultured bacterium. Its description in RNAcentral is "partial 16S ribosomal RNA". It matches the Rfam family "Bacterial small subunit ribosomal RNA", at positions 525 to 775 of the family's 1533-position model. RNAcentral also lists the same sequence under 1 other name. The record is from RNAcentral.
ACGUAGGGGGCUAGCGUUGUCCGGAAUCACUGGGCGUAAAGGGUUCGCAGGCGGAAAUGCAAGUCAGGUGUAAAAGGCAGUAGCUUAACUACUGUAAGCAUUUGAAACUGCAUAUCUUGAGAAGAGUAGAGGUAAGUGGAAUUUUUAGUGUAGCGGUGAAAUGCGUAGAUAUUAAAAAGAAUACCGGUGGCGAAGGCGACUUACUGGGCUCAUUCUGACGCUGAGGAACGAAAGCGUGGGUAGCAAACAG